This 244-nucleotide ribosomal RNA is filed under the name uncultured Staphylococcus sp. Its description in RNAcentral is "partial 16S ribosomal RNA". It matches the Rfam family "Bacterial small subunit ribosomal RNA", at positions 96 to 334 of the family's 1533-position model. Lineage: Bacteria; Bacillati; Bacillota; Bacilli; Caryophanales; Staphylococcaceae. The record is from RNAcentral.
CGGCGGACGGGUGAGUAACACGUGGAUAACCUACCUAUAAGACUGGGAUAACUUCGGGAAACCGGAGCUAAUACCGGAUAAUAUUUUGAACCGCAUGGUUCAAAAGUGAAAGACGGUCUUGCUGUCACUUAUAGAUGGAUCCGCGCUGCAUUAGCUAGUUGGUAAGGUAACGACUUACCAAGGCAACGAUGCAUAGCCGACCUGAGAGGGUGAUCGGCCACACUGGAACUGAGACACGGUCCAG